This 422-nucleotide ribosomal RNA is filed under the name uncultured bacterium. Its description in RNAcentral is "bacterial SSU rRNA". It matches the Rfam family "Bacterial small subunit ribosomal RNA", at positions 355 to 774 of the family's 1533-position model. The record is from RNAcentral.
UGAGGAAUAUUGGGCAAUGCCCGAAAGGGUGACCCAGCAACGCCGCGUGGAGGAUGAAGGUCGUAAGAUUGUAAACUCCUGUUAGAGGGGAAGAAUAACUAAGUUUGGAGCUUAGUAUGACUGUACCCUCAGAGAAAGCCCCGGCUAACUACGUGCCAGCAGCCGCGGUAGUACGUAGGGGGCAAGCGUUGUCCGGAUUUACUGGGUGUAAAGGGCGCGCAGGCGGGAUAAAAAGUCAGUGGUGAAAUCCUACAGCUUAACUGUAGAACUGCCUUUGAUACUUUUAUUCUUGAGUUCGGGAGAGAGAGACGGAAUUCCAGGUGUAGUGGUGAAAUACGUAGAUAUCUGGAAGAACACCAGUUGCGAAGGCGGUCUCUUGGUCCGACACUGACGCUGAGGCGCGAAAGCGUGGGGAGCAAACA